RNAcentral lists this unclassified non-coding RNA (255 nucleotides) under uncultured Gemmatimonadota bacterium. RNAcentral describes it as "uncultured Gemmatimonadetes bacterium contains 16S-23S intergenic spacer region". It matches the Rfam family "Bacterial small subunit ribosomal RNA", at positions 524 to 776 of the family's 1533-position model. The record is from RNAcentral. Lineage: Bacteria; Pseudomonadati; Gemmatimonadota.
UACGGAGGGUGCAAGCGUUGUUCGGAAUUAUUGGGCGUAAAGCGCGCGUAGGCGGCUCUUUAAGUCUCGCUGUGAAAUCUGGGGGCUCAACCCUCACGACUGCAGGGGAUACUGGGGAGCUAGAGAUAGGUAGAGGCGAGCGGAAUUCCGGGUGUAGCGGUGGAAUGCGUAGAGAUCCGGAAGAACACCAGAGGCGAAGGCGGCUCGCUGGACCUCAUCUGACGCUGAGGUGCGAAAGCGUGGGGAGCGAACAGG